Long non-coding RNA from Varroa destructor (honeybee mite), 2170 nucleotides. The record is from RefSeq and is a predicted model, not a curated record. NCBI's taxonomy places the organism in Eukaryota, Metazoa, Arthropoda, Arachnida, Mesostigmata, Varroidae.
CGUAUGUGCUCUUUGGGAAUGACGAGAUAAUGAUGCGUUGAAGCCGGUGCUAUGUCGGAGAUGACAACAAAUUGCGAGUCGUGGUAUUUCUCCACGGGCACCCCAAGGCACAAGGCUGAGGAGUCUAUAGAGCACGCGCAUAAGGAUUCCACUUAUUGACGAUGGUACUGUCGAUUCAUCAGCGUUCGCUUGAUCAAUCAAUUGACCUUCUGUUCCAGAUGCCGAACAACUAUUAGUGCUACCUUGCAGGAUAAAUAAAAGAAAAAGACGGUUGCCAGAAGAAGACAAUGCGUUCCGGACAAGACAUUUUGUGACACGUAAUGAUAGAACUAGGAGAUUAUUAAAGAAGACUUAAAACAUGGGUUGAAACGAUCAGGGACAAAGUCAUUCCGAACCAUCUAAAUCUUGGCUGUAAAGCUUUAUUCAAAUAUAUAAACUAGCACUCCUGAGAGACGUCGAUACAACGAACACUUAAAGCCCAAUCGUACAAAUGAAUGAGCCGCUCGUUACUAUUCCUCAUAGCUUACGCGCAUGCGACGCUGAAAGCGACGUUGAGUACCCACAUAGAUGCUAUCACAAGCAAACGUAAUAGGCAAACAGGUUCGAACUAAUGCAGAAACAAAAAAUGAUAGUCAAGGGUAUAUAUUCACGUAAAUAAACGCUGCAUACUGUACGGCGCAUUUCUUGCUGCACAUCAGUCGUUCAGAAGACCAUGUCAGCGUAUAAUACGUGCAAGCUGGUUGUUCGAAACCUAGUUUUCAUUGUAGUGUUAAAAAGGUUUCACGUUCUUUUGCCUUUUGCACGUUCGCAUAAUGAUCGCCAUAGGGAAGCAUGCGGCGCCUUUCUUCUGGUUGUUCGCACGCAACGGAACCGCUACUAUGCCACCGUAGUAGCAUUAAAACAAGAUUUACAGUAUUGAUAUACCUCGCAUCUUCGCGAAAAUGUUCCAACGUCAAUAAUCUUCAUAGACGUAUCUAUUUAAUGUAACUACGAUCGUUUUUGAUUGCAUUUUCAGUUUGUGGCCAUUUUGAAAAUUACGUCAAUGACGUUAUUUUCGAAAAUGUAUACCCUUAAUUUGUUUAUGUGACCGAUGUUUUCACUCAAAAAAAAUAGCCUAAAGAUUUGGAAUAACAGGAAUUCAAAAGGUUAAAAAAUGAAAAAUGGCCGAAUUAAUCCAAAAAAGAGACGAACUGUUGGAGCUAACGUAAAUGAUUAAGUUGGCGAUAGGCACAUUUUUCUCAAAAGCAGCAGCCUAUUUUCGUAUCCAAAAUCAGCAAUGAUCGUAAACGGCCCUUCAAGCCAUUCCGGUAAAUUUGCUAGUUCUUUCAAUCUAAUUAAUACUGUAACUACCGUAAGUAAGUAAGUAUGACUUCUUUUGAUUUUCAAAAACGAAAAAAAAUCCUCAAUGUAAUCCAUCUUUUUUUUGUUUGCUACUUCACAACAGAUUAGUCAUUCAUACAUGUGGGGAUGAUUUACUUAGGUUUAUUAAAAGCUUUGUAAGUUCGUUUUUGCAGACAAACUUUGCCGCGGCCCCGUUGAGAAGCAGAGAUUUCGAAAAAUUAAAAUGGUUAACUUCGUUUUUUAAAGCGAAAGGCUCGUACUUAUAGCUUUAUUGGAAACGACCGGUUCUAAUUAAAAAACAUUUUUAUGACACCAAUACAAUACGGAUAGGUAACUAAAAAUAUGACACUAACAAAUAUACAACAGAUCUUAUGUUAAUUAAAUACAAAAACGUUUCUACCAGACAGAUAAAGUGAUGCUCAUAUUGAGUAUCUUGCUCCAGAGCUUUAGUUUUUUGCUGUUCAUGCCAAAUACGAACGUUUGCCGGUAAAAUGCAACCUUUCACCGCACUAUGUGCUAUAGUCUAUAAUUACAAAUUGGUUUACUCGCAAACAGAUUUGGCGAGCCAACUCGCAAUAUAUUCCUCCAUAUAUUCGGGCAAUUACCUACAGUAUAUAACUCUGCAUAGCAUAUAGGUGAUCUUUCCAAAAUCGUUUUCUUUUUUGUAUUUGUGUCUUAUGACGUUUCUAUAAUACAUAAAAUAAAUUUCCCUUUCUUCAAACUUGAUUUAGUAGACUACUCUAGAUAUACUAAACGGUCUUAGAAACCUCUUACCGUUCGUCUUACUGGAUGUUAGAUAAGUUAUAUUUUAUUUUAUUUUAUUAAUAGG